GAGGGUAUAGCCCAAGAGGCAGAGCGCUUGCUUAGCGUGCAUGAGGUCCUGGGUUCAAUCCCCAGUACCUCCU
RNAcentral lists this transfer RNA (73 nucleotides) under Camelus ferus (Wild Bactrian camel). It matches the Rfam family "tRNA". From Rfam's summary of the family: Transfer RNA (tRNA) molecules are approximately 80 nucleotides in length. The record is from Rfam by way of RNAcentral. Lineage: Eukaryota; Metazoa; Chordata; Mammalia; Artiodactyla; Camelidae.